RNAcentral lists this long non-coding RNA (1317 nucleotides) under Octopus vulgaris (common octopus). The record is from RNAcentral. Lineage: Eukaryota; Metazoa; Mollusca; Cephalopoda; Octopoda; Octopodidae.
UGUAUAUAUAAAUAUAUAUAUAUAUAUAUACGCAUAAACAGAUAUAUUCAUACAUACAAGUUCACUGUAUGACAGUUGCACACACACACACACACAUGCAUGCAUAUACACACACAGUGCACACACACAUACACACACACACACACACACAACUAGCUGCUAAUGUAAGUCGCUUCACCAAUAAUUCUGAAAGAAUUCUCCACUUGCAUAUUUGCAUUCCAGUUUGCAUUUUAAUUAGACUUGUAGCUUUUUAUUCUAGUUUGAUAUCAACCAAUGAAAACAGUUGGUAUAAUGAAAUGUCUUCAUGAAGCAAAUUUUGCCUGUUCUCGUCAAUAACUGUGUUAUAUAUACACCAUAAAAACCAUCUCUGAUUCUAGUCAGUUCCAUCGCGAUCACAUUUUAUCAAACAUUCUCAAUUAUUCUAGUCAAUAUGUCCAUCAAAACAAUUUAUUCUAGUCAACGUUAUCAUCAUCAAGUUCAUGUAUUUUAGUUGUUAUCAUCGAGAAACUUGUCUAUUCACUGUUACAAUAAUACCUGGAUGGAAUAUUAAAAUUGUACUCAGUAUCAUUGUCAAAUGAAGACAUAUGUACUCUAGUAAAAAAAUCUCUAUCAGAUUCUUACAUUCAAUUCCAUAUUUGCCAUAAAUCACCAUCAAACAACUUGUACUUGUUCUAGUCAAAUGACUACAAAACAAAUUCUAUUCUAGUCAAAAAAAAAAAUCAUCAUAUAUCACCAAAGAAACUCUUAUAUUCUAGUCAAUAUCACCAUAAAACCAUCAAACAAUUUUUACCUAUUGUAGUCCUAACCACCAACAAACAUCAUCAAACAAACUUCACUUAUUCUCUAGUGAGUGUCACUAUGUUUACCUAUUGUUUAGUUGCUGUCCAGAAGAAACACCAAAUGUGAUUGUACCUAGUAUAACUUCUACCAUACAAACAUACUUAUUAUAGUCUAAAGUCUUUAGCGACAAUGUUUUUCAGUUAUUCCACACAAUAUCACCACCCUCACUCAAGUCACCUUAUAACAAACCUAUAUCAUCAUGAUCAUCAUCAUGAUCGUCAUCAUCAUUGUCAUCAUUAAAUAAAAUCACAUAUUGUAGUCUCUAUCAAACACCACCUAUUGUAGUCAAUGCCACCACAAAAAUGGAAGGUUCACAUAUUUCCUCUUCACUGAAUGUCAUCCAAAAAAAAAGAAAAAGGAAAAAAAAUUCAUGAAACACACUUGUUGUAUAUUGCCCUUCCCUCACUGCUGUUCAAUAUGACCCCCCCUCAAGAAAUGUAAAGCCACAAUAAACCUAAUAUGCCGCCUUUAUAACAC